RNAcentral lists this ribosomal RNA (253 nucleotides) under uncultured bacterium. Its description in RNAcentral is "partial 16S ribosomal RNA". It matches the Rfam family "Bacterial small subunit ribosomal RNA", at positions 524 to 776 of the family's 1533-position model. The record is from RNAcentral.
UACGUAGGGUGCAAGCGUUAAUCGGAAUUACUGGGCGUAAAGCGUGCGCAGGCGGUUUUGGAAGUUUGUCGUGAAAGCCCCGGGCUCAACCUGGGAAUUGCGAUGAAGACUGCAAGGCUUGAAUCUGGCAGAGGGGGGUAGAAUUCCACGUGUAGCAGUGAAAUGCGUAGAGAUGUGGAGGAACACCGAUGGCGAAGGCAGCCCCCUGGGUCAAGAUUGACGCUCAUGCACGAAAGCGUGGGGAGCAAACAGG